RNAcentral lists this transfer RNA (72 nucleotides) under Camelus bactrianus (Bactrian camel). It matches the Rfam family "tRNA". From Rfam's summary of the family: Transfer RNA (tRNA) molecules are approximately 80 nucleotides in length. The record is from Rfam by way of RNAcentral. Lineage: Eukaryota; Metazoa; Chordata; Mammalia; Artiodactyla; Camelidae. RNAcentral also lists the same sequence under 2 other names.
GAGGGUAUAGCUCAGUGGUAGAGUGCAUGCUUAGCAGACACGAGGCCCUGCGUUCAAUCCCCAGUACCUCCA